This 702-nucleotide ribosomal RNA is filed under the name uncultured bacterium. RNAcentral describes it as "bacterial SSU rRNA". It matches the Rfam family "Bacterial small subunit ribosomal RNA", at positions 103 to 821 of the family's 1533-position model. The record is from RNAcentral.
CGGGUGAGUAACGCACUGGUAAUCUACCUUGAAGUCGAAGACAACCAUUAGAAAUGAUGGCUAAUACUCGAUGGACAUGAAAGGUCUACGGAUUUUUUCAUGUAAAGCUCCGGCGCUUCAAGAGGAGCCUAUGUCUGAUUAGCUAGUUGGUAGGGUAAUGGCCUACCAAGGCAUCGAUCAGUAGCGGGUGUGAGAGCAUGACCCGCCACACUGGGACUGAGAACUGCCCAGACUCCUACGGGAGGCUGCAGUCGAGAAUCUUCCACAAUGCGCGAAAGCGUGAUGGAGCGACACCGCGUGCCAGAUGAAGCCCUUAGGGGUGUAAAUGGCUUUUCUAGGAGACGAAUUCGUGACGGUACCUUAGGAAUAAGAGGUUGCUAACUCUGUGCCAGCAGCAGCGGUAAUACAGAGACCUCGAGCGUUAUCCGGAGUAAUUGGGCGUAAAGCGUCCGCAGUCGGUUUUGCGCGUCACUCGUUAAAUCUCGGUGCUCAACAUCGAGGCCGCGGGUGAUACGGCAAAACUAGAGGUUGGGAGAGGUAAGCGGAAUUGCUGGUGUAGCGGUCAAAUGCGUUAAUAUCAGCAAGAACACCAAAAGCGAAGGCAGCUUACUGGAACACACCUGACGAUCAGGGACGAAAGCGUGGGUAGCGAAUGGGAUUAGAUACCCCAGUAGUCCACGCCGUAAACGAUGAAUGCUAGGU